GAAGCAUUGUCAUUGGAAAGGCAAGAAGAAUUAAAAGCUUUGAAAGAGCAAUUCAUAGUGCAAGUAACACCUCAUAUUAGCCGGAAGACAGACAAAGAUUCAUCUCUACCUGGUCCAACAUCAGCCCAUGGUGCCUCCAAUUUUAAGAUUGUAAAGAGAAAACCUGAAGAAAGGGAUCAAGAAACAAAAGCAGCNNNNNNAAUGUCUCCAGCGCCAGAUGCGGAGAAAGAAGGAGGAGAAGGAGCCUUUAAUAACCAGUCCAC
This 263-nucleotide unclassified non-coding RNA is filed under the name Hevea brasiliensis (rubber tree). The record is from RNAcentral. Lineage: Eukaryota; Viridiplantae; Streptophyta; Magnoliopsida; Malpighiales; Euphorbiaceae.